RNAcentral lists this ribosomal RNA (323 nucleotides) under uncultured eukaryote. Its description in RNAcentral is "partial 18S ribosomal RNA". It matches the Rfam family "Eukaryotic small subunit ribosomal RNA", at positions 1470 to 1796 of the family's 1831-position model. The record is from RNAcentral.
CCCUUAGAUGUUCUGGGCCGCACGCGCGCUACACUGAUGCAUGCAACGAGUUCUAUCCUUGGCCGGAAGGCCUGGGUAAUCUGUGAACGUGCAUCGUGAUAGGGAUAGAUUAUUGCAAUUAUUAAUCUUGAACGAGGAAUUCCUAGUAAACGCAAGUCAUCAGCUUGCAUUGAUUACGUCCCUGCCCUUUGUACACACCGCCCGUCGCACCUACCGAUCGAAGGUAAUGAUGAGCCCUCAGGAUUGUGGCCUCGUCGCGUCAGCGUCUUGGCUGCGAGAAUCUGUGCAAAUCCCGACCUUUAGAGGAAGGUGAAGUCGUAACA